This is an unclassified non-coding RNA of Castor canadensis (American beaver), 123 nucleotides long. Lineage: Eukaryota; Metazoa; Chordata; Mammalia; Rodentia; Castoridae. The record is from Ensembl.
CCAGCAGCCCCCUUUUUUUUCCAGAAAAGGGGUUGUGAACCUGCCUGGGGAUGAGGCCUGGUCUUGUGGAAGCUGGACUUAGCUUCGCUAGGGUGGCAGCUCCGGCCCAGGGUGGUAUGUAAU